RNAcentral lists this ribosomal RNA (474 nucleotides) under uncultured bacterium. RNAcentral's name for it is "bacterial SSU rRNA". It matches the Rfam family "Bacterial small subunit ribosomal RNA", at positions 335 to 803 of the family's 1533-position model. The record is from RNAcentral.
ACUCCUACGGGAGGCAGCAGUGGGGAAUAUUGCACAAUGGGCGCAAGCCUGAUGCAGCCAUGCCGCGUGUGUGAAGAAGGCCUUCGGGUUGUAAAGCACUUUCAGUCGUGAGGAAGGUAGUGUAGUUAAUAGCUGCAUUAUUUGACGUUAGCGACAGAAGAAGCACCGGCUAACUCCGUGCCAGCAGCCGCGGUAAUACGGAGGGGGUUAGCGUUGUUCGGAAUUACUGGGCGUAAAGCGCGCGUAGGCUGACUAUUAAGUCAGGGGUGAAAUCCCGGGGCUCAACCCCGGAACGGCCCUUGAUACUGGUAGUCUUGAGUCCGAGAGAGGUGAGUGGAAUUCCGAGUGUAGAGGUGAAAUUCGUAGAUAUUCGGAGGAACACCAGUGGCGAAGGCGGCUCACUGGCUCGAUACUGACGCUGAGGUGCGAAAGUGUGGGGAGCAAACAGGAUUAGAUACCCUGGUAGGAUAGCGU